RNAcentral lists this ribosomal RNA (826 nucleotides) under uncultured archaeon. RNAcentral's name for it is "bacterial SSU rRNA". It matches the Rfam family "Archaeal small subunit ribosomal RNA", at positions 88 to 915 of the family's 1478-position model. The record is from RNAcentral.
GCUCAGUAACACGUGGACAAUCUGCCCUUGGGUCUGGGAUAACUCCGGGAAACUGGAAAUAAUACCAGAUAGGUCAUAGAUGCUGGAAUGCUCUAUGGCCCAAAGCUCCGGCGCCCAAGGAUGAGUCUGCGGCCUAUCAGGUCGUAGUGGGCGUAAUGGACCCACUAGCCUACGACGGGUACGGGUUGUGAGAGCAAGAGCCCGGAGAUGGAUUCUGAGACAUGAAUCCAGGCCCUACGGGGCGCAGCAGGCGCGAAACCUUUACAAUGCGCGCAAGCGCGAUAAGGGGACCUCGAGUGUUCCUACCUAGUAGGAACUGUCCAGUUGUCUAAAAAACAACUGUUAGCAAGAGCCGGGCAAGACCGGUGCCAGCCGCCGCGGUAACACCGGCGGCUCGAGUGGUGACCGCUUUUAUUGGGUCUAAAGGGUCUGUAGCCGGUCUAACAAGUUCUUUGGAAAAUCUGGUCGCUUAACGAUCAGGCUGCUAGGGGAUACUGUUAGACUUGGGACCGGGAGAGGCUAGAGGUACUUUAGGGGUAGGGGUGAAAUCCUGUGAUCCUUAAAGGACCACCAGUGGCGAAGGCGUCUAGCUAGAACGGAUCCGACGGUGAGGGACGAAAGCUGGGGGCACGAACCGGAUUAGAUACCCGGGUAGUCCCAGCCGUAAACGAUGCGAGCUAGGUGUCAGUUUUACUGCGAGUAAAAUUGGUGCCGUAGGGAAGCCGUGAAGCUCGCCACCUGGGAAGUACGGCCGCAAGGCUGAAACUUAAAGGAAUUGGCGGGGGAGCACUACAACGGGUGGAGCCUGCGGUUUAAUUGGAGUCAA